Molecule: small nucleolar RNA, 143 nt
Filed under: Mus pahari (shrew mouse)
Lineage: Eukaryota; Metazoa; Chordata; Mammalia; Rodentia; Muridae
Description: predicted gene, 23546 (MGP_PahariEiJ_G0034521.1)
Rfam family: Small nucleolar RNA SNORA48
About the family: The snoRNA ACA 48 has been identified to guide pseudouridylation of the residue U3797 in the 28S rRNA subunit. Its host gene EIF4A1 (eukaryotic translation initiation factor 4A1) is shared with U67 and snoRNA mgU6-77
Source: RNAcentral
AACCCCUGUCAGUGGCAGAGAGACCCCUUGGUGGUGGUGUUGCUCUUACGUCAGUCAGGGCCAGAGCAGGUGGCGGUCCUUUGUUCAUCCUAGCUUGAUGCCUGGCUUGGUGGCCAAAGCUGCCUUAUGCCUAGGAUUCAUAA